UACGUAGGCAGCGAGCGUUGUUCGGAGUUACUGGGCGUAAAGGGUGUGUAGGCGGUUGCUUGAGUUUGGUGUGAAAUCUCCCGGCUCAACCGGGAGGGUGCGCCGAAUACUGAGUGACUAGAGUGCGGGAGAGGAAAGUGGAAUUCCUGGUGUAGCGGUGAAAUGCGUAGAUAUCAGGAGGAACACCGGUGGUGUAGACGGCUUUCUGGACCGUAACUGACGCUGAGACACGAAAGCGUGGGUAGCAAACAGG
RNAcentral lists this ribosomal RNA (253 nucleotides) under uncultured bacterium. Its description in RNAcentral is "partial 16S ribosomal RNA". It matches the Rfam family "Bacterial small subunit ribosomal RNA", at positions 524 to 776 of the family's 1533-position model. The record is from RNAcentral.